Long non-coding RNA from Hypanus sabinus (Atlantic stingray), 922 nucleotides. RefSeq lists it as uncharacterized. The record is from RefSeq and is a predicted model, not a curated record. The transcript is spliced from 4 exons. NCBI's taxonomy places the organism in Eukaryota, Metazoa, Chordata, Chondrichthyes, Myliobatiformes, Dasyatidae.
GCAGCGUUCUGACAGAAGUCUGAGUUAUGGCUGACACCUGGAGGCCGAGGGAGGAGAAAGAGAAAUCAAUGCUUCUGAUAGCUCGGGGACAAAAGCUAGUCCGGAGUCACUGAAAGACCUCUCACCUCCAGGCCGGAACAGGACAGGCACCACCCAAGCAACAACAUGACAGCUCGAGCCAGCAGACAGUUAAAAGACUGGCCUACAAAGCAGGACCUCCAUACGAUUGCCUAAACCAGACACAGGCCUCCUUCUUCCUGGCCAGGGCUUCGAUACCCCCGGUCAACCAGUUCUUGUAACCGUUACAGAGGCUCUCCCUGAGCGCUGGUGGAGAGGUUUUCCAGGAUUUAGCCCCUGUAACAAUGAAGAAGGCUGAUACGUCUACAGUCAGAAAGAUGCCGCCUGACCUGCUGAAUUCCUCCGGUAUUGUGAGUGUGUUACUCUGUAACUGCAACACCACGUCCUGCCGGAGGGUCUCGACCCGAAACGUCGACUACUCUUUUCCAUAGGCGCUGCCUGUCCUGCUGAGUUCCUCCAGCAUUGUGUGUGUGUUACUAUAUUCUACAUGCUGUUAUUGCUUUGCCCUUGUGCUACCCUGAUGCACUGUCGUGAUGAAAUCACGUGGCAGCAGCUCAAUGCACAAAAGCAUGAAGAAAUGGUCAAGAGGUUCAGACCAAACAUCAGAACAGACCAGACUAUGUAACAGUUUCUUCCCCCAAGCCAUCAGACUCCUCAAUACCCAGAGUCUGGACUGACACCAACUUACUGCCCUCUACUGUGCCUAUUGUCUUGUCUAUUAUUUAUUGUAAUGCCUGCACUGUUUUGUGCACUUUAUGCAGUCCUGGGUAGGUCUGUAGUCCAGUGUAGUUUUUUCUAUGUUGUUUUUAAGUAGUUCAGUGUAGUUUUUGUACUGUUUCAUGUA